Polypterus senegalus (gray bichir) is the source of this 248-nucleotide long non-coding RNA. RefSeq lists it as uncharacterized. The record is from RefSeq and is a predicted model, not a curated record. The transcript has 4 exons. NCBI's taxonomy places the organism in Eukaryota, Metazoa, Chordata, Cladistia, Polypteriformes, Polypteridae.
GUAUGCUCUCUACAUUGCCACCGGAAGAGCAUUUGAUUUCAGUCAGGAAGACAUGCCAGCAAUUAGAAAAUGGUGGUGUCUUCUCUUACUUUGCAAGGCCAGCAUGAAAAGCCAAGACGUCGGUCUUCAAUUUCCACACGAGAAGAUGGACAUUCUGUGUAUCGCAGUGGUGUCUUGCGCCAACACCAUCUACUCAAAGCAUCGUGAUGUUCCAACAAUGAUGGAUGGAUUAAAAGCCAGAAGUCUGU